This 270-nucleotide ribosomal RNA is filed under the name Clostridioides difficile. Its description in RNAcentral is "partial 23S ribosomal RNA". It matches the Rfam family "Bacterial large subunit ribosomal RNA", at positions 834 to 1104 of the family's 2925-position model. The record is from RNAcentral. Lineage: Bacteria; Bacillati; Bacillota; Clostridia; Peptostreptococcales; Peptostreptococcaceae.
CGAGCCCGGAGAUAGCUGGUUCUCCCCGAAAUAGCUUUAGGGCUAGCCUCAAGGUGAGAGAUACGGAGGUAGAGCACUGAAUGUCCUAGGGGGGAUUGCACCUACCGAAGACUAUCAAACUCCGAAUGCCGUCAUCUUAUACUUGGGAGUCAGACUGUGGGUGAUAAGAUUCAUAGUCGAAAGGGCAACAGCCCAGAUCGUCAGCUAAGGUCCCUAAAUGUAAGUUAAGUGGUAAAGGAUGUGGGAUUGCACAGACAACCAGGAUGUUGG